RNAcentral lists this long non-coding RNA (155 nucleotides) under Naja naja (Indian cobra). Its description in RNAcentral is "lncRNA (ENSNNAG00000009501.1)". The record is from RNAcentral. Lineage: Eukaryota; Metazoa; Chordata; Lepidosauria; Squamata; Elapidae.
UUGGGACAGUCAAUUUUUCGAAGCAGGUGAAUUCAAUAUUUUUUCCCCCUUUUGGAUUCAAAAUUUGUUUUAAAGACUCGACAGUGAAAGCUCUUGCAGGUUACCUGCUUGGGAUUAUAUCAUUAGGUUCACAAAGUUGAGAUAGCAAGGAUCAA